RNAcentral lists this ribosomal RNA (305 nucleotides) under uncultured bacterium. RNAcentral describes it as "bacterial SSU rRNA". It matches the Rfam family "Bacterial small subunit ribosomal RNA", at positions 335 to 655 of the family's 1533-position model. The record is from RNAcentral.
ACGGCCUACGGGAGGCAGCAGUGGGGAAUAAUGCACAAUGGGGGAAACCCUGAUGCAGCGACGCCGCGUGAGUGAAGAAGUAUUUCGGUAUGUAAAGCUCUAUCAGCAGGGAAGAAAAAUGACGGUACCUGAGUAAGAAGCACCGGCUAAAUACGUGCCAGCAGCCGCGGUAAUACGUAUGGUGCAAGCGUUAUCCGGAUUUACUGGGUGUAAAGGGAGCGCAGGCGGUGCGGCAAGUCAGAUGUGAAAGCACGGGGCCCAACCCCGGUACUGCAUUUGAAACUGUCCGGCUGGAGUGCAGGAGG